AGAGUUUGAUCAUGACUCAGAGCGAACGUUAGCGGCGGGCCUAACACAUGCAAGUCGAACGGGCAGUAGCGAUACUGUCAGUGGCGCACGGGUGCGUAACGCGUAGAUAAUCUACCUCUAAGUGGGGGAUAACUAGGGGAAACUCUAGCUAAUACCGCAUAAGACCACGGGGCCUUCGGGUUCUGGGGGAAAAGACGGCCUCUGAAUAUGCUGUCGCUGAGAGAUGAGUCUGCGUCCCAUCAGCUAGUUGGUGAGGUAAUGGCUCACCAAGGCAAAGACGGGUAGCUGGUCUGAGAGGAUGAUCAGCCACACUGGCACUGGAACACGGGCCAGACUCCUACGGGAGGCAGCAGUGGGGAAUAUUGGGCAAUGGGCGGAAGCCUGACCCAGCCACGCCGCGUGAGUGAUGAAGGCCUUCGGGUUGUAAAGCUCUGUGGGGAGGGACGAAAAACCAUGACCUAAUACGUCCUGGGUUGACGGUACCUCCUUAGCAAGCACCGGCUAACUCUGUGCCAGCAGCCGCGGUAAGACAGAGGGUGCAAACGUUGCUCGGAUUUACUGGGCGUAAAGCGCAUGUAGGCGGAGAGAUGUGUCGGGUGUGAAAUCCCUGGGCUCAACCUAGGAACUGCAUCCGAAACUAUCUUUCUAGAGUAGUGGAGAGGAAAGCGGAAUUCCGGGUGUAGAGGUGAAAUUCGUAGAUAUCCGGGAGGAACACCAGUGGCGAACGCGGCUUUCUGGGACACUAACUGACGCUGAGAUGCGAAAGCGUGGGAGCAAACAGAUUAGAUACCCUGGUAGUCCACCGCCGUAAACGAUGAGUGCUGGGGUGUUUCGGGUAUUGACCCCCGAGGCGCCGUAGCUAACGCGUUAAGCACUCCGCCUGGGGAGUACGGCCGCAAGGCUAAAACUCAAAGGAAUUGACGG
This 924-nucleotide ribosomal RNA is filed under the name uncultured bacterium. Its description in RNAcentral is "bacterial SSU rRNA". It matches the Rfam family "Bacterial small subunit ribosomal RNA", at positions 8 to 916 of the family's 1533-position model. The record is from RNAcentral.